UAGGCGGGACGGACGGUCGCUGCUUAUUUUGAGUGGAGGAAAGUCCGGGCUCCAUCGGACACGAUGACGGAUAACGUCCGCCGAUCGAAAGGUCAGGGAAAGUGCAACAGAAAAUAAACCGCCGGUAUGCCGGUAAGGGUGAAAGGGGGAGGUAAGAGCUCACCGCGGUUCGGGCAACCGAACCGGCUAGGCAAACCCCAUCGGGAGCAAGGUCAAACAGGAUCGAGGUUGUCCGAACCGUUACCAGAUCCGGGUAGGCUGCUUGAGGAAUCGGGUAACCGGUUUCCCAGAUAAAUGACCGUCAUUCCGGUCAAUUUCGACCGGAAUACAAAACCCGGCUUAUAGUCCCGCCUUUUUU
RNAcentral lists this RNase P RNA (358 nucleotides) under Planctomycetaceae bacterium. RNAcentral's name for it is "RNase P RNA component class A". It matches the Rfam family "Bacterial RNase P class A". From Rfam's summary of the family: Ribonuclease P (RNase P) is a ubiquitous endoribonuclease, found in archaea, bacteria and eukarya as well as chloroplasts and mitochondria. Its best characterised activity is the generation of mature 5'-ends of tRNAs by cleaving the 5'-leader elements of precursor-tRNAs. Cellular RNase Ps are ribonucleoproteins. Lineage: Bacteria; Pseudomonadati; Planctomycetota; Planctomycetia; Planctomycetales; Planctomycetaceae. The record is from RNAcentral.